Non-coding RNA from Sphenostylis stenocarpa, 81 nucleotides. NCBI's taxonomy places the organism in Eukaryota, Viridiplantae, Streptophyta, Magnoliopsida, Fabales, Fabaceae. The record is from the annotation of a GenBank genome assembly.
GCCUUGGUGGUGAAAUGGUGUACACGUGAGACUCACAAUCUUGUGUUAGAGAGUGUGGUGGUUUGAGUCCUUUUCAAGACA